GACGAACGCUGGCGGCGUGCUUAACACAUGCAAGUCGAACGGAAAGGCCCUGCUUUCGUGGGGUGCUCGAGUGGCGAACGGGUGAGUAACACGUGAGUAACCUGCUCUUGACUUUGGGAUAACUUCAGGAAACUGGGGCUAAUACCGGAUAGGAGCUCCUGCUGCAUGGUGGGGGUUGGAAAGUUUCGGCGGGUGGGGAUGGACUCGCGGCUUAUCAGCUUGUUGGUGGGGUAGUGGCUUACCAAGGAUUUGACCGGUAGCCGGCCUGAGAGGGUGACCGGCCACAUUGGGACUGAGAGACGGCCCAGACUCCUACGGGAGGCAGCAGUGGGGAAUAUUGCACAAUGGGCGGAAGCCUGAUGCAGCAACGCCGCGUGCGGGAUGACGGCCUUCGGGUUGUAAACCGCUGUCGCCUGUGACGAAGCGUUAGUGACGGUAAUGGGUAAAGAAGCACCGGCUAACUACGUG
RNAcentral lists this ribosomal RNA (468 nucleotides) under uncultured bacterium. RNAcentral's name for it is "partial 16S ribosomal RNA". It matches the Rfam family "Bacterial small subunit ribosomal RNA", at positions 28 to 507 of the family's 1533-position model. The record is from RNAcentral.